Molecule: ribosomal RNA, 534 nt
Filed under: Campylobacter fetus
Lineage: Bacteria; Pseudomonadati; Campylobacterota; Epsilonproteobacteria; Campylobacterales; Campylobacteraceae
Description: bacterial SSU rRNA
Rfam family: Bacterial small subunit ribosomal RNA
Source: RNAcentral
UGCAAGUCGAACGGAGUAUUAAGAGAGCUUGCUCUUUUAAUACUUAGUGGCGCACGGGUGAGUAAUGUAUAGUUAAUCUGCCCUACACUGGAGGACAACAGUUAGAAAUGACUGCUAAUACUCCAUACUCCUUCUUAACAUAAGUUAAGUCGGGAAAGUUUUUCGGUGUAGGAUGAGACUAUAUUGUAUCAGCUAGUUGGUGAGGUAAUGGCUCACCAAGGCUUUGACGCAUAACUGGUCUGAGAGGAUGAUCAGUCACACUGGAACUGAGACACGGUCCAGACUCCUACGGGAGGCAGCAGUAGGGAAUAUUGCUCAAUGGGGGAAACCCUGAAGCAGCAACGCCGCGUGGAGGAUGACACUUUUCGGAGCGUAAACUCCUUUUGUUAGGGAAGAACCAUGACGGUACCUAACGAAUAAGCACCGGCUAACUCCGUGCCAGCAGCCGCGGUAAUACGGAGGGUGCAAGCGUUACUCGGAAUCACUGGGCGUAAAGGACGCGUAGGCGGAUUAUCAAGUCUUUUGUGAAAUCUA